CAGUAGCCGCGGUAAUACAGAGGGUGCAAGCGUUAAUCGGAAUUACUGGGCGUAAAGCGCGCGUAGGUGGUUUGUUAAGUUGGAUGUGAAAUCCCCGGGCUCAACCUGGGAACUGCAUCCAAAACUGGCAAGCUAGAGUAUGGUAGAGGGUAGUGGAAUUUCCUGUGUAGCGGUGAAAUGCGUAGAUAUAGGAAGGAACACCAGUGGCGAAGGCGACCACCUGGACUGAUACUGACACUGAGGUGCGAAAGCGUGGGGAGCAAACAGGAUUAGAUACCCCCGUAGUCCCUGUCUCUUAUAC
RNAcentral lists this ribosomal RNA (301 nucleotides) under uncultured bacterium. RNAcentral's name for it is "partial 16S ribosomal RNA". It matches the Rfam family "Bacterial small subunit ribosomal RNA", at positions 509 to 807 of the family's 1533-position model. The record is from RNAcentral.